This is a non-coding RNA of Acanthosepion pharaonis, 97 nucleotides long. Lineage: Eukaryota; Metazoa; Mollusca; Cephalopoda; Sepiida; Sepiidae. The record is from the annotation of a GenBank genome assembly.
ACUAAAACACCGGCUCCCGUACGAUCACCGAAGUUAAACAACGACGAGCUUAGUCAAUACCAAAAUGGGUGACUGCUUAGGAAUGCCAUGUGCUGUU